Molecule: ribosomal RNA, 254 nt
Filed under: uncultured bacterium
Lineage: Bacteria
Description: partial 16S ribosomal RNA
Rfam family: Bacterial small subunit ribosomal RNA
Source: RNAcentral
UACGUAGGGCGCGAGCGUUGUCCGGAUUUAUUGGGCGUAAAGAGCUCGUAGGUGGUUCGGUAAGUCGGGUGUUAAACCCCCAGGCUCAACCUGGGGACGCCACUCGAUACUGCUGUGACUUGAGUCCGGUAGGGGAGCGUGGAAUUCCUGGUGUAGCGGUGAAAUGCGCAGAUAUCAGGAGGAACACCAGCGGCGAAGGCGGCGCUCUGGGCCGGUACUGACACUGAGGAGCGAAAGCGUGGGGAGCAAACAGG